RNAcentral lists this ribosomal RNA (491 nucleotides) under soil fungal sp. DM089. RNAcentral's name for it is "eukaryotic LSU rRNA". It matches the Rfam family "Eukaryotic large subunit ribosomal RNA", at positions 140 to 653 of the family's 3401-position model. Lineage: Eukaryota; Fungi. The record is from RNAcentral.
GAGUUGUAAUUUGCAGAGGAUGCUUUUGGCGCGGUGCCUUCCGAGUUCCCUGGAACGGGACGCCAUAGAGGGUGAGAGCCCCGUCUGGUCGGACACCAAGCCAGUGUAAAGCUCCUUCGACGAGUCGAGUAGUUUGGGAAUGCUGCUCUAAAUGGGAGGUAUAUGUCUUCUAAAGCUAAAUACCGGCCAGAGACCGAUAGCGCACAAGUAGAGUGAUCGAAAGAUGAAAAGCACUUUGAAAAGAGGGUUAAACAGUACGUGAAAUUGUUGAAAGGGAAGCGUUUAUGACCAGACUUGGGCCCGGUGAAUCAUCCAGCGUUCUCGCUGGUGCACUUUGCCGGGCUCAGGCCAGCAUCAGUUCGCCGCGGGGGAUAAAGGCUUCGGGAACGUGGCUCCCUCGGGAGUGUUAUAGCCCGUUGCGUAAUACCCUGUGGCGGACUGAGGUUCGCGCUCCGCAAGGAUGCUGGCGUAAUGGUCAUCAGCGACCCGUC